This is a long non-coding RNA of Oncorhynchus tshawytscha (Chinook salmon), 2956 nucleotides long. RefSeq lists it as uncharacterized. NCBI's taxonomy places the organism in Eukaryota, Metazoa, Chordata, Actinopteri, Salmoniformes, Salmonidae. The transcript has 2 exons. The record is from RefSeq and is a predicted model, not a curated record.
UGUAUAUUUUUUAUUCACAUUUUUCAAGGGGUGCUGUAGCACCCUCAGCACCCCUACUUCCCACUGCUAUGGGUAGGGGUUAAGGUUAGGGUAGGGACAUCCCAAGGAGGCAGGAUUGCACUGACCAUACAUUUGUCUUUCCAACUAUUCAGCCAAGUUUAUCACACAUGCUGCUACAUCAGCCUGGCCUUUCCUGCCUUUAGGUUUCCGUGUUUACUUUUAUCAUUGGAUCACAUUUUGUCAUUCUCUGACUACUUACUGGCUGCAGAGAAAAUCGAUCAAAACAAAAGCAAGCUAACCUAAAUAUGGCACCAAAUAAUCAGACAAUUAGAAACUACUCAGGUCCUAGAGGUAUUUAAAAAGGUACUUUCAACGUGAGUGAAUUUGCUAUGAUAUUACUUGCCACUGUUUUUGCUGUUUCCGAAAACUAGCUAACCAUGUCUGAUCUGAACAAUCACCCAAGACUAUAGUACGAGCCUAUUAACUAAUUCACCUAUUUCAUGAUUAAUAUGCCACUGCAGUGGAGCGAUGAUCAACUGCAUGUGUUUUAUGAAAAUGAAGUGAAAACGAAUGUGGACCUCUCCAUUUCUACAAAACGGCUUUAAGGUGGUAAGGUGAGUGCCUGCAUUUCCCCCCCAUGUAAGCCAUUACAUCUCCAAUGCAUUUGUGAUAUUAUGCAUGUAUGACAUGUAUUCUAAGCAGGAGGUCCAGAACAGACAUAUUUCAACACCCAGACUUCUGUAGUCACAGAGAUGAGAGAAGUUGACAAGGAAUUGUCCAGCUGCGCGUGGAAGGUCCCUUGUGAAGAGAGAAACAGCUGAGAGCACAAAGCCCCCUGGACAUGCGAUGACAACAAUUGAAAAGGACAGCAACAGACCUAUGCAACUACAUCAACUUCAGCAUUCCAGAGCCAGAAAUUCAGCCUCAAGUUUCCCUCCCUCCCUCCUCGGAAUCAUUUAGCUACCUGUGAAACUCAAGACUGCAUGAAAGUGUUUGAUAAGAACACCACAAUGGUAGCCUCUGCCAUGUCCCAAACAACCGGAUGUUCCAGUUUCUUUUAUGCCUGCUACGUUAUGUUACCACAACGGAAAUCCAGAAGCACAUUCUAACAGAGUUGAGAAUUAGUCUAACAAGACAAUUUGGUGUAAGGCUCAUUUAGUUGUGCAAUAUUCUAGCCCUGGAUUCACUAGUAGAGCCGAUAUACAAUGCAACUCUUAUUUGAUGAGACAGCAGCCUAACAAUUUACUGAUUAUUUCAGGAUCAAGAUGAUGUGUCGAAGGAAGCUCUCUAAAGGACAAGAUCCUUUAAUCUCUGCAAUAUUAACAUGCUGCGUCCUCUCUCCACACAUCCCACCCCCCAAGUCACUUCUGACUAACCCCUCAACUUCUUGAAUUACUGAAAGUGUAGUGUCGUGAGUUGACAAAAACGUAUGUCAAGGACACAUUUUUAUAUUUUGUUGACGUGUGACUCAGCAAUUAAUAAUUUCUCCACCUGCUCUUUAGUUUAUUAGUGAUUUAAGUAGUAGCAAUAACCAGUACGGGGCACUAGUGUGCUGUUAACCACACACUGUUCUACUCAACAGUUGGAACCAUGAUACUGUAUAUAUAAGCUAGAUGUUUUGUGAGUAUGAUGUUUACUGCUCAUUUUGUUUUUCACUUUUGUAUAUUAUCUACUUCACUUGCUUUGGCAAUGUUAACAUAUGUUUCCUAUGCCAAUAAAGCCCCUUGAAUGAAUUGGUUUGUCAAACAACUUAUGUAUGUAAUACGUGUUUGUUUUUUUGAAACUUCAAAUCAACCUCAAGUCACCAUCACUCGAAAGCAGGAUGUCCACAAAAUAAUGACAAGACCAAAAAAAGUAUGCUUAUGGAUGUGUAUUUUAAUAAAAAUAAUUCUGUCAAAAUAAAACAGAAUACAAUAUUUCUUUAUCAUGUUUCCAGUACAUAGGUAUGUUUUUUAAAAUUAUAAUUUCUUUUUUAUAUUGUUUAAGGUUUUAAAAGUUUCAUGCUAAGUACAGGGUAACUCAUUUCACAAAUGCUAAACUCAAUAUGAAAUUUAAAUCAUAAUAGAAGUAUAUUGUGCACAGCUUGUUUUCAAUUCCUAAUUCCAUUACCUUCGCCUCUCCAUUUGAAGCACGGAUAGCUCCAAAGGCCAAUUUAAAACAGAAAAGGAAAACUGGGAGGUUGUUUGCUAGAGUAGGUGUGUCUAUAAAAGUCCCAGGAGAAGCUCAACAGAUUCCUCCCUUUCUACACACACAUCCCUAUAUAUUAGUCAAGUUAAAAAUUCUACUGUAUAAUGAAUUCUCUUAAAAUGGAAAUAUACAUUUUGGGUGGCUAUUCUAUUGAGUUCAAAAAGCCAUUUGCUGUUUUUGAAAGAAACCAAGAGAUACAUGAUUUGCUAUAAUGUCAAGCUAUUAUCAAUACCUAUCUGCUGUCUGUUUCCAAUAUUGAAAGCCUAGGACUGGUUGUAUUCUGAAUGACCAUUAAACAGAAUAGUGAAAACCCAUGUGAACGGAUAGGGCCGUCUAGAGACUUAAUUAACUGAACAACACGAGUUAAAAUAACUCAAAUUUGAUUCCAACAUGGGUUACGAUUGUGUAAAAAAGAAAAAAAUAAUCCAAAUGGCCUUUGUGAACAAUGUUAAGGGAUAUUAAAGUCUACCAAACACUAAUAACAAGCUGCAAGCUGAUGAUUUCUACUCCCACCAGCCCUUUGCUUCACAAACAUGCUUUACAUGAUUGUCAAAAAGUGAAUGAAACACAUUGCAAUAUGUCUAACAGGUGUAGGGGAUGUCAAUAUCAAUCUCAUGAUGGCCAGCAGCAAAUCUGAAACAUAAAUGUAAUAUAAUCUGCUAAACUACAUUCAACAAACAGUGGAGCGCCUCUUGCUGGCUGGCUGGCUGAAAUACUGGGUUAAUACAUCAAUGAUCAACAUUUGUGCCAAGAGAACAUCUGUUAAAUA